AGCGAACGCUGGCGGCAGGCCUAACACAUGCAAGUCGAACGAACUCUUCGGAGUUAGUGGCGGACGGGUGAGUAACACGUUGGAACGUGCCUUUUGGUUCGGAAUAACUCAGGGAAACUUGUGCUAAUACCGAAUGUGCCCUUCGGGGGAAAGAUUUAUCGCCAUUAGAGCGGCCCGCGUCUGAUAGCUAGUUGGUGAGGUAACGGCUCACCAAGGCGACGAUCAGUAGCUGGUCUGAGAGGAUGACCAGCCACACUGGGACUGAGACACGGCCCAGACUCCUACGGGAGGGAGCAGUGGGGAAUCUUGCGCAAUGGGCGAAAGCCUGACGCAGCCAUGCCGCGUGAAUGAUGAAGGUCUUAGGAUUGUAAAAUUCUUUCACCGGGGACGAUAAUGACGGUACCCGGAGAAGAAGCCCCGGCUAACUUCGUG
This 432-nucleotide ribosomal RNA is filed under the name uncultured bacterium. RNAcentral describes it as "partial 16S ribosomal RNA". It matches the Rfam family "Bacterial small subunit ribosomal RNA", at positions 29 to 507 of the family's 1533-position model. The record is from RNAcentral.